This 98-nucleotide microRNA precursor is filed under the name Mustela putorius furo (domestic ferret). RNAcentral's name for it is "miRNA (ENSMPUG00000020632.1)". Lineage: Eukaryota; Metazoa; Chordata; Mammalia; Carnivora; Mustelidae. The record is from RNAcentral.
UAUACAUGUAUAAAAUGUAUAAAUGUAUAAAAACGUGUAUAUGUUAUACAUGUUAUACCAUAUAAUGUUAUAACAUAUACAUAUAUAUGUUACAAAUG